UGGGGAAUAUUGCACAAUGGGGGAAACCCUGAUGCAGCGACGCCGCGUGAACGAAGAAGGUAUUCGUAUCGUAAAGUUCUGUCCUAUGGGAAGAUAAUGACAGUACCAUAGAAGAAAGCUCCGGCUAAAUACGUGCCAGCAGCGGCGGUAAUACGUAUGGAGCGAGCGUUGUCCGGAAUUAUUGGGCGUAAAGGGUACGCAGGCGGUUUAAUAAGUCGAAUGUUAAAGAUCGGGGCUCAACCCCGUAAAGCAUUGGAAACUGAUGAACUUGAGUAGUGGAGAGGAAAGUGGAAUUCCUAGUGUAGUGGUGAAAUACGUAGAUAUUAGGAGGAAUACCAGUAGCGAAGGCGACUUUCUGGACACAAACUGACGCUGAGGUACGAAAGCGUGGGGAGCAAACAGG
This 403-nucleotide ribosomal RNA is filed under the name Actinomycetes bacterium. Its description in RNAcentral is "Actinobacteria bacterium partial 16S ribosomal RNA". It matches the Rfam family "Bacterial small subunit ribosomal RNA", at positions 355 to 776 of the family's 1533-position model. Lineage: Bacteria; Bacillati; Actinomycetota; Actinomycetes. The record is from RNAcentral.